This 687-nucleotide long non-coding RNA is filed under the name Olea europaea subsp. europaea. The record is from RNAcentral. Lineage: Eukaryota; Viridiplantae; Streptophyta; Magnoliopsida; Lamiales; Oleaceae.
CUCUAUCAAAGACCCCUCCUACGUCAGUAACCGACCCACUUACUCGAGCCGAGAAGUACAUCAACAUGGAAGAGACUAUGUUUCCAAAGAGAGAUGCCCCACAUCAGCUAAGCCCGCACUUAAAAGGCAGCAUGAGCUUAAUCUGCAUCAAGAUCAGCCUUAGGGUAAGACAAGGCAUGAUAACCCUUUAGCAGCCUUGACUCGCCUGAAUACCAUAAGAUCUAACAUUUUGAUGGAGAUCAAGGAUAUGAAAGAGCUCAAAUGGCCGUCAAGGAUGACGUCCUCUUCUAAGCCCCAGGACAUGAACAAAUAUUGUGAGUUUCAUCAAGACCAUGGACAUACCACAGAGACAAGCAAAGCCUUACAACGCGAGAUCUAGUCUUUGAUAAAGAGAGGAUUCCUAGGGGCAUAUCUCGGUGAAGACAAGCGUUCGAAGAAUGAUCAUAACUAGGCAAAUACCUCAGGGAUUGGGGACAACAAUAGACCAACGGCGGGUACGAUCAAUGUCAUUGUCUAGAUGGUCAAUGCCAUACAUCUAAUGUACGAGGGUCUUACAUGUUUUUAUGCCCCAUUUAUUUUCAUUUCAUAAUUGGUAGGGCCUGCGCGCCCGUUUUAUCUUUUAGCUGGUCAGGUCUACGUGCCCAUAUUAGUUUGUUAGUUGGUCGGGCUUGCAUGCCUAUACUUUUC